UUUAUAUAGUUUAUUAAAAACAUUACACUUUCUAUGUAAAGUUAAAACCCCUAUUUUUAUAA
This 62-nucleotide transfer RNA is filed under the name Macrolycus sp. UPOL TH0094. RNAcentral describes it as "tRNA-Glu". The record is from RNAcentral. Lineage: Eukaryota; Metazoa; Arthropoda; Insecta; Coleoptera; Lycidae.